RNAcentral lists this ribosomal RNA (455 nucleotides) under uncultured Novosphingobium sp. RNAcentral describes it as "bacterial SSU rRNA". It matches the Rfam family "Bacterial small subunit ribosomal RNA", at positions 8 to 498 of the family's 1533-position model. Lineage: Bacteria; Pseudomonadati; Pseudomonadota; Alphaproteobacteria; Sphingomonadales; Sphingomonadaceae. The record is from RNAcentral.
AGAGUUUGAUCAUGGCUCAGAACGAACGCUGGCGGCAUGCCUAACACAUGCAAGUCGAACGAGACCUCACCUUCGGGUGAACGUCUAGUGGCGCACGGGUGCGUAACGCGUGGGAAUCUGCCCUUCGGUUCGGAACAACAGUUAGAAAUGACUGCUAAUACCGGAUGAUGACGUAAGUCCAAAGAUUUAUCGCCGAAGGAUGAGCCCGCGUAGGAUUAGCUAGUUGGUAAGGUAAAAGCUUACCAAGGCGACGAUCCUUAGCUGGUCUGAGAGGAUGAUCAGCCACACUGGGACUGAGACACGGCCCAGACUCCUACGGGAGGCAGCAGUGGGGAAUAUUGGACAAUGGGCGAAAGCCUGAUCCAGCAAUGCCGCGUGAGUGAUGAAGGCCUUAGGGUUGUAAAGCUCUUUUACCAGGGAUGAUAAUGACAGUACCUGAGAAUAGUCCGAUGCGU